CAGACUCAGUCCCAUCAACGGCCUCUACUCCUUGUUGUUUGUGGCUCGAAACAAACACACAAGUUAUGUGCCUUACCCCAGGUGGAUGGUUCGAAUGUGCCUUUGGAUCCCAGCAGCUGUGCUCAAGACCUUCCCACAGUUCUUCCACAGACACUUGAACAUCACCUUCAUGGAGUUCUGUCAGGGACACAGAAACUUCAGAAAACCUCUGGUGUCUGCCUUGCCCAGAAGACCAGGCCAGAACUGUUUCCAGUUUUGACAAUAACCGUUUCUACUGCACACUCUACCAUUCAACUCUUCUGGAUAUCUUUCUCUCUCAUUGGAAGGCAAACUUGCAAAGCGCUCUGGAGAGUGAGACAUUAACCUUGG
Carassius carassius (crucian carp) is the source of this 369-nucleotide long non-coding RNA. RefSeq lists it as uncharacterized. The record is from RefSeq and is a predicted model, not a curated record. NCBI's taxonomy places the organism in Eukaryota, Metazoa, Chordata, Actinopteri, Cypriniformes, Cyprinidae. The transcript is spliced from 3 exons.